GGAUGUUCAUAACCCUUUGUUGUCCGACUCUGUUGCCUCCGGGGCGACCCUGCCUUCGGGCGGGGGCUCCGGGUGGACACUUCAAACUCUUGCGUAACUUUGCAGUCUGAGUAAACUUAAUUAAUAAAUUAAAACUUUUAACAACGGAUCUCUUGGUUCUGGCAUCGAUGAAGAACGCAGCGAAAUGCGAUAAGUAAUGUGAAUUGCAGAAUUCAGUGAAUCAUCGAAUCUUUGAACGCACAUUGCGCCCCCUGGUAUUCCGGGGGGCAUGCCUGUUCGAGCGUCAUUUCACCACUCAAGCCUCGCUUGGUAUUGGGCAACGCGGUCCGCCGCGUGCCUCAAAUCGACCGGCUGGGUCUUCUGUCCCCUAAGCGUUGUGGAAACUAUUCGCUAAAGGGUGUUCGGGAGGCUACGCCGUAAAACAACCCCAUUUCUAAGGUUGACCUCGGAUCAGGUAGGGAUACCCGCUGAACUUAAGCAUAUCAAUAAGCGGAGG
RNAcentral lists this ribosomal RNA (496 nucleotides) under Cladosporium cladosporioides. RNAcentral's name for it is "eukaryotic LSU rRNA". The stretch from base 133 to 286 matches the Rfam family "5.8S ribosomal RNA". The record is from RNAcentral. Lineage: Eukaryota; Fungi; Ascomycota; Dothideomycetes; Cladosporiales; Cladosporiaceae.